GUGAAAUCAGUACCAGACUCUUCUCCUCCAUUGUUCCCUGAUGGGGGAACGACCUACCAAACUCUGUCUGACCUGCAGGCCUGGACCUACUUUUCAGAGCAAGCUAAAGACCCAGCUCUUUAAGGAGCACUUCGGCAUCUAGGACAGAUGAUGAUGUUGAGGGCCUGAUAAAGCUGCGCAUGCAGCAUAACAGGCUCUUCUCGGGCCGGCGUAACGCCGCGUUUCAUGGAUGGGAGGUCAGCCGGUAGUCUGGCUUCAGGUCUGCCUCCUCAUCAAAAUACACCCGGAGGACUGGCAUAUUGAUGUUGAGGCGGCAGUAGGUCUGUAAGGAAGAAGCCCUUCAAGGCCCAGUCUACAACUGGAGGGAGCUCAAAUAACAAAAAACUUUGCAGGUUGCUGUCAUCUCCAGCUCCCUCCAGAAUGAUUCCCUUGGGUGGGGAAGACUGUUCUUAAGACCUUUUUAUUGAAGCG
Molecule: long non-coding RNA, 471 nt
Organism: Cololabis saira (Pacific saury)
Lineage: Eukaryota; Metazoa; Chordata; Actinopteri; Beloniformes; Belonidae
Exons: 4
Source: RefSeq, a predicted model, not a curated record